AUUAUAAUUUAUAAGAGAUACAUGGCAAGGAAGAGAUAAUUUUAUUUAUUUGUUUUGGGAGUCAAGUUCUUAUCUAUUUGUUUGUAUGUUUUAAGCAUAUCUUUCCUCAGUUCUGAGCCAGUGCUUGACUGUCCAAUUUGCUAACCAGUUAAAAUAUAGUUUAUGAUCUGUUGCUAAAUGUUUAGAUGUGGAGAAACUGUUUCUUUAUAGUAUAUCCUAUCUCAAAGUGUACAUUCUGGAAAUAUUAUCUGAAUCUCUCAAACAAAUAAUCUGGAGUGGUGAAUAUUCAAAAAUAGAAUUUAAAAAUCAAACAUCUAUGUUAUGGAAUGCUAUAUAAUGCAAAUUUCAGUUAGUUAAAUGGAAACAAUUUAAAUAUUUAAAUAAUGCCAAUAUUUAAAUGUUUACUAAUGUCAUAUGAUUGUAAGUCUCAAAUAAGACUAGAUAUACCUUAUAAUUAAAAAAUCUGUGAUUCCAUGAGAAAAAAGCAGCUACUUUCUUGUGUUAAUAUAACAGAAAUUCUAUUGUCUCUCCACAUUACAAAAUGAUAAUUAGAUUAUAAUUAAAAAUGAAUUGCUCUAUUACAUCAUAAUUGUCAGGAUUUUCUUAACCCACAUGCAUGGAAUUUUGUUCAUAUUAUACCUGUAUUUACUGGCCUUUUGCAGUGUAAUUUUAUGUAAUUGGAACCAGUACUGUAAGGAAACAGUUACUUAGUAGAUUGUCAACUUUAAUGUCUAAGAUUAUUUCAUUUCCUUGAUUUCAUUUUCCUUAAUUUGAUUUUCUUUCAUGUUCAAACAUGGAAUGUUGCAUGAAACACUUACUAGAGUCCAAACUGAGGCCAGAUGAAAUUCAUCAGAUAAAGCAAUAUUACACACCAGAGGAGGUGAAUGCUUCACAAGGGAGGUCCUGUCAGAAACCAAAGACACAAAGCACCUGUAUCCAAGUUCCUUCAUGCUACUUCCUGGUUGAACAAGUCACAACUCAGCAUUGUUACAACUGACUUUGUCUUCUCAAUUGUGGACUAACACUUGGGCAUAUUUUGACCUUACUCUCCUGAGGAAAACUCAUCAGUUCAUUUUCUCAUUCUCACAAAGUAUUUUAAAAUGAUCCAUUUUCAUAAAAUGAUUUGAUACAUUUUAUGAAAAAGAGUUUGUAAUAAUUUGUAUUAACCUUUUUCCAGAAGUGCUUUUAGUAAGUGACUUUUGUGGACAUUGCAAGCCCUGACUACUUAAGCUAGUAAUAUAAAUGUGGCUAGCUUAUAGUUGUGGGUAAGUGUGAUACAGUUAAAUGAAAGACUACUUGUCUUUUAAGGAUGAUUAAAGCUAUGUCUGCCUAAAUUGUUGUUUAUUUUACCCACUGCUUCAAAAUGGAACUCUAACUUAACUGUACAGUUUUGUUUUUAUGAAGGAAUAAAGAAUUCCUUAUUAAACA
RNAcentral lists this long non-coding RNA (1428 nucleotides) under Sus scrofa (pig). RNAcentral describes it as "lncRNA (ENSSSCG00055002524.1)". Lineage: Eukaryota; Metazoa; Chordata; Mammalia; Artiodactyla; Suidae. The record is from RNAcentral.